UACGUAGGGGGCAAGCGUUGUCCGGAAUCAUUGGGCGUAAAGAGCGUGUAGGCGGCUCGGUAAGUCCGCUGUGAAAGUCCAGGGCUCAACCCUGGAAUGCCGGUGGAAACUGUCGAGCUAGAGUCCGGAAGAGGCGAGUGGAAUUCCUGGUGUAGCGGUGAAAUGCGCAGAUAUCAGGAGGAACACCAAUGGCGAAGGCGGGUCUCUGGGCCGAUAUUGACGCUGAGGAGCGAAAGCGUGGGGAGCGAACAGG
This 253-nucleotide ribosomal RNA is filed under the name uncultured bacterium. Its description in RNAcentral is "partial 16S ribosomal RNA". It matches the Rfam family "Bacterial small subunit ribosomal RNA", at positions 524 to 776 of the family's 1533-position model. The record is from RNAcentral.